UCACGGAUGGACUGUAACAGUACUGGUGGAGUCAAUUGACCCUAUUAGGUUUCUUGUUUCCUCAAAAAACAAGUGGCGAGCCUGCAA
Molecule: small RNA, 87 nt
Filed under: Synechococcus phage S-SCSM1
Lineage: Duplodnaviria; Heunggongvirae; Uroviricota; Caudoviricetes; Pantevenvirales; Kyanoviridae
Description: wcaG
Source: RNAcentral